UGGGGAAUCAUGGUCAAUGGACGCAAGUCUGAACCAGCCAUGCCGCGUGCAGGAUGACGGCCCUACGGGUUGUAAACUGCUUUUGUACUGGAAAAAAUCUCCGGUCGUGAAUCGGAGCUGAUGGUACCGUAAGAAUAAGCAUCGGCUAACUCCGUGCCAGCAGCCGCGGUAAUACGGAGGAUGCAAGCGUUAUCCGGAUUCAUUGGGUUUAAAGGGUGCGCAGGCGGAAUGAUAAGUCAGUGGUGAAAUCCUACGGCUCAACUGUAGAACUGCCAUUGAUACUGUCGUUCUUGAGUACACUUGGAGUGGGCGGAAUGUGUCAUGUAGCGGUGAAAUGCUUAGAUAUGACACAGAACACCGAUCGCGAAGGCAGCUCACUAAAUUGUAACUGACGCUAAGGCACGAAAGCGUGGGGAUCAAACA
Molecule: ribosomal RNA, 423 nt
Filed under: uncultured prokaryote
Description: bacterial SSU rRNA
Rfam family: Bacterial small subunit ribosomal RNA
Source: RNAcentral